Molecule: ribosomal RNA, 445 nt
Filed under: uncultured bacterium
Lineage: Bacteria
Description: SSU rRNA
Rfam family: Bacterial small subunit ribosomal RNA
Source: RNAcentral
AGAGCGAACACUGGCGGCAGGCCUAAUACAUGCAAGUCGAACGGAUCCUUCGGGAUUAGUGGCGGACGGGUGAGUAACACGUGGGAACGUGCCCUUUGGUUCGGAACAACUCAGGGAAACUUGAGCUAAUACCGGAUGUGCCCUUCGGGGGAAAGAUUUAUCGCCAUUGGAGCGGCCCGCGUCUGAUUAGCUAGUUGGUGGGGUAAAGGCCCACCAAGGCGACGAUCAGUAGCUGGUCUGAGAGGAUGAUCAGCCACACUGGGACUGAGACACGGCCCAGACUCCUACGGGAGGCAGCAGUAGGGAAUCUUGCGCAAUGGGCGAAAGCCUGACGCAGCCAUGCCGCGUGAAUGAUGAAGGUCUUAGGAUUGUAAAAUUCUUUCAGCGGGACGAUAAUGACGGUACCCGCAGAAGAACGCCCGGCUAACUUCGUGCCAGCAGCCGC